UACCUGCAGCUCUAGUGGUGUCCGCUAUUAUUGGGCCUAAAACGUCCGUAGCCGGCUUAUUAAAUGCCUGGGUAAAUCGUACGGCUUAACCGUACGAAUUCCGGGUAGACUGAUAAGCUUGGGACCGGGAGAAGCUAGAGGUACUCCUGGGGUAGAGGCGAAAUUUUGUAAUCCUAGGGGGACCACCAGUGGCGAAGGCGUCUAGCUAGAACGGGUUUGACGGUGAGGGACGAAGCCCUGGGGAGCAAACGGGAUUAGAUACCCCGGUAGUCCAGGGUGUAAACGCUGCUUGCUUGAUGUUAGUCGGGCUCCGAGCCCGAUUAGUGUCGGAGAGAAGUUGUUAAGCAAGCUGCCUGGGAAGUACGGCCGCAAGACUGAAACUUAAAGGAAUUGGCGGGGAGCACUGCAACGGGUGGAGCGUGCGGUUU
RNAcentral lists this ribosomal RNA (428 nucleotides) under uncultured archaeon. RNAcentral describes it as "bacterial SSU rRNA". It matches the Rfam family "Archaeal small subunit ribosomal RNA", at positions 474 to 903 of the family's 1478-position model. The record is from RNAcentral.